CCGACCUUAGCUCAGUUGGUAGAGCGGAGGACUGUAGUAUGGUUAACAGAUUAAUCCUUAGGUCGCUGGUUCGAAUCCGGCAGGUCGGA
Molecule: transfer RNA, 89 nt
Filed under: Cucumis melo (muskmelon)
Lineage: Eukaryota; Viridiplantae; Streptophyta; Magnoliopsida; Cucurbitales; Cucurbitaceae
Rfam family: tRNA
About the family: Transfer RNA (tRNA) molecules are approximately 80 nucleotides in length. Their secondary structure includes four short double-helical elements and three loops (D, anti-codon, and T loops).
Source: Rfam by way of RNAcentral